UAAUCUCAAUUCCCCUCAGGCUUUUCUUUUGAAAUACAAAUGAAAGGCCUGUUCAGGGUCAUUGGAUUUGGAGGUUUCAUGCAGGUUCCCCUCUUUGUAAGGGAAAUCAGCUCCUCUUAAAAAUAUUAGCUUGGAGGAUGAAGCAAAAUGACUCAGCAUUGUUCAUUGGCUUUUAUGGUGUAAUAAUUGUUUCAUCAUGCGCUAUACAGUGCACGGGAAAAUACAGUCCCGGGAGACUUUUUGUAGCAUUCUCUGCUUUCUAGUUUUGUCAGGUCUAUCUGGCAAUUCAUGUAUUCUU
This 298-nucleotide unclassified non-coding RNA is filed under the name uncultured Coltriciella. Its description in RNAcentral is "sequence contains ITS2". Lineage: Eukaryota; Fungi; Basidiomycota; Agaricomycetes; Hymenochaetales; Hymenochaetaceae. The record is from RNAcentral.